Molecule: non-coding RNA, 205 nt
Filed under: Anaerolinea sp.
Lineage: Bacteria; Bacillati; Chloroflexota; Anaerolineae; Anaerolineales; Anaerolineaceae
Description: 6S RNA
Rfam family: 6S / SsrS RNA
About the family: E. coli 6S RNA was the first non coding RNA to be sequenced, but its function was unknown until recently. It consists of 184 nucleotides that fold into an extended hairpin structure with a large single-stranded internal bulge. The 6S RNA specifically associates with RNA polymerase holoenzyme containing the sigma70 specificity factor.
Source: RNAcentral
AGUACCCUGCUGUGCUCGUGCUGCUGCACUACCGGUUUUGGGCCAACACCUGUAAUCACGGGAGCCAUAUUUCCAGCAGUUACGCGAUAGGCGGGCCGCAGCUAUGUUCUGCAUCAGCAGCGCCAAGGCGGAAAAUCUGCUGGUGAGGUUCCCACUUACGAAAGCAGGUUCAAAACAUCGCACCACACGGCAUAGCGGGGGAGUU